Molecule: ribosomal RNA, 401 nt
Filed under: uncultured bacterium
Lineage: Bacteria
Description: bacterial SSU rRNA
Rfam family: Bacterial small subunit ribosomal RNA
Source: RNAcentral
UCGGGAAUUUUGGGCAAUGGGCGCAAGCCUGACCCAGCAACGCCGCGUGAAGGAUGAAGUAUUUCGGUAUGUAAACUUCGAAAGAAUGGGAAGAAUAAAUGACGGUACCAUUUAUAAGGUCCGGCUAACUACGUGCCAGCAGCCGCGGUAAUACGUAGGGACCAAGCGUUGUUCGGAUUUACUGGGCGUAAAGGGCGCGUAGGCGGCAGUUCAAGUCAGUUGUGAAAUCUCCGAGCUUAACUCGGAACGGUCAACUGAUACUGUUUUGCUAGAGUGCAGAAGGGGCAAUCGGAAUUCUUGGUGUAGCGGUGAAAUGCGUAGAUAUCAAGAGGAACACCUGAGGUGAAGACGGGUUGCUGGGCUGACACUGACGCUGAGGCGCGAAAGCUAGGGUGGCAAAC